UCAGUGGCGAACGGGUGAGUAACACGUAAGAAUCUGCCUUUAGAUAGAGGAUAACAAUUAGAAAUAAUUGCUAAUACUCUAUAUGCCGUUUGGUGAAAAAAGAAAUUUGUCUAAAGAGGAGCUUGCGUCUGAUUAGCUAGUUGGUAGGGUAAAGGCCUACCAAGGCGACGAUCAGUAGUUGGUCUGAGAGGACGAUCAACCACACUGGAACUGAGACACGGUCCAGACUCCUACGGGAGGCAGCAGUGAGGAAUAUUCUGCAAUGGGCGAAAGCCUGACAGAGCAAUACCGCGUGAGGGAUGACGGCCUAUGGGUUGUAAACCUCUUUUCUCAAGGAGGAAGAUCUGACGUUACUUGAGGAAUAAGCAUCGGCUAACCCUGUGCCAGCAGCCGCGGUAAUACAGGGGAUGCAAGUGUUAUCCGGAAUUAUUGGGCGUAAAGCGUCUGCAGGUUGAUAUCUAAGUCUUUUGUUAAAUUUCCGAGCUCAACUCGGAGUCGGCAAAAGAAACUAUUUAUCUUGAGUAUGGUAGGGGUAAAGGGAAUUUCAAGUGGAGCGGUGAAAUGCGUAGAUAUUUGAAAGAACUCCAGUAGCGAAGGCACUUUACUGGGCCAGUACUGACACUCAGAGACGAAAGCUAGGGGAGCAAACAGGAUUAGAUACCCUGGUAGUCCUAGCUGUAAACGAUGGAUACUAGAUGUU
This 700-nucleotide ribosomal RNA is filed under the name uncultured bacterium. RNAcentral's name for it is "bacterial SSU rRNA". It matches the Rfam family "Bacterial small subunit ribosomal RNA", at positions 92 to 824 of the family's 1533-position model. The record is from RNAcentral.